CAGAUUUGGUUCUGGUUUCUAUUAUAAAGCUAUUGUUGAUGAUACAUGCAAAUCGUGUUGGCUAGUGAGGACACAAAUACAUAGAAAUUUAAAAUUUCUUGCGCUUGUAGUAUAGAACGAUUUUAUACUUAGUAAAACCACUCCAUAUAGGUAAAUAGCAGUACUUAAUUUUGGCCAGACGCGAGAGCGUGCGUCAGCUAGUAAUAUUACAGUGUGGCUAAUACUGUGCCAGCCGCCGCGGUUACACCUUAACAUUAAUUUAUAGUAUUCAGUAUUGCAAAUGACAAGUGUAUAAUAUGAGUCGGGGGAAAGCUGCGGUCGAAUGCGCUUAAUCUGAAGUCUCUUAUUGUUUAUUUGCACGGUUAAAGGGGAGAAACCAGGAUUAGAUACCCUGUUAUUCCUUUACAGUUAAUUUGUGGUGAGUACAGAUGUUGUCUAAAAACCAAAGAUUUUGGCAGUGGCUAAGGCCCGCUCAGAGGAAUUUGUUCCGUUUAUCGACACUCCGCGAGGAUCUUACUUCACUUUGUAUUCAGCUUAUAUACCGCCGUCGUCAGUUAAUACCUUUUAGGUUAAGAAAUUAACAAAAAGACGUAGUUCUUAACGUCAGGUCAGGGUGUAGCUAAUAGUGAAGGGUAGAAUGAAUUACAAUUAUCUUAAGUUAACGAAUAUCCCUUAGUACUGGUGAUUGAAGUUGGAUUUGGUAGUAAUGAGGCAAUAGUAUGGCCAAUUGAUUAAAGCUCUUAGUUAUGCACACACCGCCCGUCAUUUUCCUGAACCAAUAAAGGAAAGAAGUCGUAACAAGGUAGGGUAUCCGGAAGGAUCCCCUGGAUAAU
This 833-nucleotide ribosomal RNA is filed under the name Epigonichthys maldivensis. Its description in RNAcentral is "12S ribosomal RNA". The record is from RNAcentral. Lineage: Eukaryota; Metazoa; Chordata; Leptocardii; Amphioxiformes; Branchiostomatidae.